UACCCCUUUUUGAAAAUGAAAAUGGUUCUGGAUUUGAACCUUUGAAGUAGUGCAGAAGCUCCUAUUCUUUUGUAUAGAUACUUAAAGAUCUCUAUAGAAGAGUUCAACAGUAGACUCGCGAAGCUGUUAUUCUUGUAUGUCCUUUUUUGGAUAUCUCAUUUUUAUCGAUACACAUUUCACAGAACAGUGAAUACUUGUUAUAUUACUCUGUACUAUUCAACUGACAAGAGUAUCAUUUUGGUGCCUUUUCGCGUUUCUUG
Molecule: unclassified non-coding RNA, 260 nt
Filed under: Hevea brasiliensis (rubber tree)
Lineage: Eukaryota; Viridiplantae; Streptophyta; Magnoliopsida; Malpighiales; Euphorbiaceae
Source: RNAcentral